This 468-nucleotide ribosomal RNA is filed under the name uncultured bacterium. RNAcentral's name for it is "partial 16S ribosomal RNA". It matches the Rfam family "Bacterial small subunit ribosomal RNA", at positions 28 to 507 of the family's 1533-position model. The record is from RNAcentral.
GACGAACGCUGGCGGCGUGCUUAACACAUGCAAGUCGAACGGAAAGGCCCUGCUUUUGUGGGGUGCUCGAGUGGCGAACGGGUGAGUAACACGUGAGUAACCUGCCCUUGACUUUGGGAUAACUUCAGGAAACUGGGGCUAAUACCGGAUAGGAGCUCCUGCUGCAUGGUGGGGGUUGGAAAGUUUCGGCGGUUGGGGAUGGACUCGCGGCUUAUCAGCUUGUUGGUGGGGUAGUGGCUUACCAAGGCUUUGACGGGUAGCCGGCCUGAGAGGGUGACCGGCCACAUUGGGACUGCGGUACGGACCAGACUCCUACGGGGGGCAGCAGGGGGGAAGAUUGCACAAUGGGCGGAAGCCUGAGGCAGAAACGCCGCGUGCGGGAUGACGGCCUUCGGGUUGUAAACCGCUUUCGCCUGUGACGAAGCGUGAGUGACGGUAAUGGGUAAAGAAGCACCGGCUAACUACGUG